Molecule: ribosomal RNA, 253 nt
Filed under: uncultured bacterium
Lineage: Bacteria
Description: partial 16S ribosomal RNA
Rfam family: Bacterial small subunit ribosomal RNA
Source: RNAcentral
UACGUAGGGGGCUAGCGUUGCUCGGAAUCACUGGGCGUAAAGCGCACGUAGGCGGCUUUUUAAGUCAGGUGUGAAAUCCUGGAGCUCAACUCCAGAACUGCCUUUGAUACUGAGGAUCUUGAGUCCGGGAGAGGUGAGUGGAACUGCGAGUGUAGAGGUGAAAUUCGUAGAUAUUCGCAAGAACACCAGUGGCGAAGGCGGCUCACUGGCCCGGUACUGACGCUGAGGCACGAAAGCGUGGGGAGCAAACAGG